AGCCGUGUGGUCUAGUGGUCAGAACGUUAGCCGCGUAAGCUGAAGACGCCGGUUCGAUUCCGGCCUCGGCCA
Non-coding RNA from Cydia pomonella (codling moth), 72 nucleotides. The record is from the annotation of a RefSeq genome assembly. Lineage: Eukaryota; Metazoa; Arthropoda; Insecta; Lepidoptera; Tortricidae.